This is a long non-coding RNA of Xenopus laevis (African clawed frog), 1200 nucleotides long. RefSeq lists it as uncharacterized. Lineage: Eukaryota; Metazoa; Chordata; Amphibia; Anura; Pipidae. The record is from RefSeq and is a predicted model, not a curated record. The transcript is spliced from 4 exons.
AGCAGAGAGCUCUUCGACAGACUUUCAGGUCAAUAGAGAAGGAACGUGCAGUAAAAAGGGGGCAGGGCUACACGCUUAUACCGGAAGUAGCUGAAAUGAGUUGCAGUUUUGAGCCUGUGGUCGACUGAAUCGACUAGAAAGCCUUUGUUGAUCUGAGUUUUCUUUCUACUCCCGGACAAUAGCUUGUGUCAACUGGAUUUUCUCAAGACUUUAUUAGACUGAAUGUUAUAACCACUCACUGAAUAAAGCUUGAUUAAUAACCAUGCCAAGGUGUGUUGUAAAAAACUGUCCUCACUGGACCGGAAAAAAAGGAUCACAAGUCAUUCUACAUGGAUUUCCAAAUAAUAGUCGAUUAAUAAAAUUAUGGCUCAGUCAGACAAAGCAAGAUUUUGGAGAUGUUGAGGACUUCACACAAAAAAUACUUGAAGGGAAAAAAAAUGAUCUCUACAGGCUCUGCUCUAAGCAUUUUACUAAUGACUCCUAUGAGAUAAGAGGAACAAAGAGAUUUCUGAAGUAUGGUGCUGUCCCUACUGUGUUUGAAGACACUCCUCCAUUGAAAAGAAGAAAAGGACAGACUGCAACCAUUAUGAAAGAUUGUGAGACACAGACUGACAACCCGAUUCAAGAUUUAACUGUAAUUUCAAGAAAUAGGGCUCGCAUGACAAAUUCAAAGCUACGUUUAAAGAGUAGGGGUACUCAGAUAGAACCAAAAUACUUUACAGCAAAUUGCGGCAUUCAGUGUCAAUUAUUGAUUCCAAAUCCUGAAGAGAACGAUCAAGACAGAGCACAUAUAGUGCAAAUGGAACACUUUUAUCCAAUAUCUUUUUAAACACCUUUGAAGACUUCUACAGUUCACCUGCAAGAAAACGUAUUCCACUCUACAAAAUAAAUAAUAUAUAGAACUAAAAACUCGGAAAGUAAUAGGGCAAUCUGAAUGUGUCAACGUGCUAUGAGUCUAUAGACGGUAAUGUCACAAAUAGCUCUCUUACACCAGUAUAUGUUGGCAGCAAAUAUUUGAAUUCAUGUUAUUUGUAUGUCUAACUUUAUUAACCGUGUCUGCCACAUUGGUUUCUAAAACUCACUGUGCUAGAGUUAUGUGAUCCUGUAUAUAUGGAAACCUGUUAUUGAGAAUGCCCUGAAUUACGGAAAGACUAUCUUCCACACACCAUUUUAAUUAAAUAAUUCCAAUAUCUUAAAAAA